This 736-nucleotide ribosomal RNA is filed under the name uncultured Fusobacterium sp. RNAcentral describes it as "bacterial SSU rRNA". It matches the Rfam family "Bacterial small subunit ribosomal RNA", at positions 28 to 776 of the family's 1533-position model. The record is from RNAcentral. Lineage: Bacteria; Fusobacteriati; Fusobacteriota; Fusobacteriia; Fusobacteriales; Fusobacteriaceae.
GAUGAACGCUGACAGAAUGCUUAACACAUGCAAGUCUACUUGAAUUUGGGUUUUUUAACUUCGAUUUGGGUGGCGGACGGGUGAGUAACGCGUAAAGAACUUGCCUCACAGCUAGGGACAACAUUUGGAAACGAAUGCUAAUACCUAAUAUUAUGAUUAUAGGGCAUCCUAGAAUUAUGAAAGCUAUAUGCGCUGUGAGAGAGCUUUGCGUCCCAUUAGCUAGUUGGAGAGGUAACGGCUCACCAAGGCAAUGAUGGGUAGCCGGCCUGAGAGGGUGAACGGCCACAAGGGGACUGAGACACGGCCCUUACUCCUACGGGAGGCAGCAGUGGGGAAUAUUGGACAAUGGACCGAGAGUCUGAUCCAGCAAUUCUGUGUGCACGAUGACGUUUUUCGGAAUGUAAAGUGCUUUCAGUUGGGAAGAAAAAAAUGACGGUACCAACAGAAGAAGUGACGGCUAAAUACGUGCCAGCAGCCGCGGUAAUACGUAUGUCACGAGCGUUAUCCGGAUUUAUUGGGCGUAAAGCGCGUCUAGGUGGUUAUGUAAGUCUGAUGUGAAAAUGCAGGGCUCAACUCUGUAUUGCGUUGGAAACUGUGUAACUAGAGUACUGGAGAGGUAAGCGGAACUACAAGUGUAGAGGUGAAAUUCGUAGAUAUUUGUAGGAAUGCCGAUGGGGAAGCCAGCUUACUGGACAGAUACUGACGCUGAAGCGCGAAAGCGUGGGUAGCAAACAGG